Molecule: ribosomal RNA, 1077 nt
Filed under: Triticum aestivum (bread wheat)
Lineage: Eukaryota; Viridiplantae; Streptophyta; Magnoliopsida; Poales; Poaceae
Description: partial small subunit ribosomal RNA
Source: RNAcentral
AUGGGGUUGCUCAAGGAGGGGAGCCUGAAGCUGAGCAGCCACCAGGUGGUGCCGCUCUUCCUCGGGGCAGCUCUGCCCACGAUCCUCCUCUUCGUCUUGGCCUCCGACCGGCUGGACGAGCAGCUGUCCAGCGUCUCCGGCAGCUGGCUGGGGAACAGCAACGGUGGAACUCCGGGGACGGCUCCUGCACUGCUACCGAAACGUGAGGAGGAGAAAUUCACAGGGCUCGCAGAGCUACUAACCAAGGUAGCGACCGAUGACGGGACGGUGAUCAUCACAUCAGUGAACGAGGCGUGGGCGCGGCCAGGCUCCCUCCUUGACCUCUUCCUCGCGGGCUUCAAGAACGGCAAGGGUAUAGCGCACCUCCUCAAUCACACUCUCAUUGUCGCUGUCGAUCGAGACGCCUUGGCCCAUUGCGAGGUUGUGCACCCACAUUGCUACCUCUACGAGGUCAGCUCCGCCAACGUCAGCUCCGCCAACCGCUUCAUGUCCAAAAGCUACCUCGAGCUCGUGUGGGCCAAACUCGGGGUCCCGGAGCGUGUCCUCCAGCUUGGCUACAACUAUCUCUUCACCGAUGUGGAUAUCUUGUGGCUGCGCAACCCGUUCCGGCACAUCAACCUCUACGCCGACAUGGCGAUCUCGACCGACGGUUUCGAAGGUAAUGCCGAGGCCCUAACAAAUGUGGGAAACACCGGCUUCUACUACGUUAGGUCGACGAACAGGACGGUGGAGAUGCUAAAGCGCUGGCGGGCAGUGAGGUCACGGUUCCCCUCCACCCACGACCAAGGAGUGCUAAACGAGAUCAAGGCCGAGCUCGCGGCCGGUGACCUACAAAUCAAGUUUGUGUUCCUUGACACAGUGAUCUUUGGCGGUUUCUGCCAGUUCCACGGAGAGAUGGACAAGGUAUGUACGAUGCACGCCAUCUGCUGCAUCGGGCUCGAGAACAAGGUGCAUGACCUUAGGAACCUGGCCGCUGACUGGAAGAACUACACGAGCCUGGCACCAACGGAGAAGAGGAGUGGCAGACGUAGGUGGACAUCCCCCAACCGGUGCAAGGCGUCGAUGAGAAAACAGUGA